GAUGAACGCUGGCGGCGUGCCUAAUACAUGCAAGUCGAGCGAACAGACGAGGAGCUUGCUCCUCUGACGUUAGCGGCGGACGGGUGAGUAACACGUGGAUAACCUACCUAUAAGACUGGGAUAACUUCGGGAAACCGGAGCUAAUACCGGAGAAGAUAUUGAACCGCAUGGUGCAAUAGUGAAAGACGGUUUUGCUGUCACGUAUAGAGGGAUCCGCGCCGCAUUAGCUAGUUGGUAAGGUAACGGCUUACCAAGGCAACGAUGCGUAGCCGACCUGAGAGGGUGAUCGGCCACCCUGGAACUGAGACACGGUCCAGACUCCUACGGGAGGCAGCAGUAGGGAAUCUUCCGCAAUGGGCGAAAGCCUGACGGAGCAACGCCGCGUGAGUGAUGAAGGUCUUCGGAUCGUAAAACUCUGUUAUUAGGGAAGAACAAAUGUGUAAGUAACUAUGCACGUCUUGACGGUACCUAAUCAGAAAGCCACGGCUAACUACGUG
RNAcentral lists this ribosomal RNA (497 nucleotides) under uncultured bacterium. RNAcentral describes it as "partial 16S ribosomal RNA". It matches the Rfam family "Bacterial small subunit ribosomal RNA", at positions 28 to 507 of the family's 1533-position model. The record is from RNAcentral.